AGUGAACGCUGGCGGUAGGCCUAACACAUGCAAGUCGAACGGCAGCACAGUAAGAGCUUGCUCUUACGGGUGGCGAGUGGCGGACGGGUGAGGAAUACAUCGGAAUCUACUUUUUCGUGGGGGAUAACGUAGGUAAACUUACGCUAAUACCGCAUACGACCUACGGGUGAAAGCAGGGGAUCUUCGGACCUUGCGCGAUUGAAUGAGCCGAUUUCGGAUUAGCUAGUUGGCGGGGUAAAGGCCCACCAAGGCGACGAUCCGUAGCUGGUCUGAGAGGAUGAUCAGCCACACUGGAACUGAGACACGGUCCAGACUCCUACGGGAGGCAGCAGUGGGGAAUAUUGGACAAUGGGCGCAAGCCUGAUCCAGCCAUACCGAGUGGGUGAAGAAGGCCUUCGGGUUGUAAAGCCCUUUUGUUGGGAAAGAAAAGCAGCAGGUUAAUACCCCGCUGUUCUGACGGUACCCAAAGAAUAAGCACCGGCUAACUUCGUG
This 492-nucleotide ribosomal RNA is filed under the name uncultured bacterium. RNAcentral describes it as "partial 16S ribosomal RNA". It matches the Rfam family "Bacterial small subunit ribosomal RNA", at positions 29 to 507 of the family's 1533-position model. The record is from RNAcentral.